Molecule: unclassified non-coding RNA, 242 nt
Filed under: fungal sp.
Lineage: Eukaryota; Fungi
Description: partial internal transcribed spacer region
Rfam family: Eukaryotic small subunit ribosomal RNA (bases 1-46)
Source: RNAcentral
AAGUCGUAACAAGGUUUCCGUAGGUGAACCUGCGGAAGGAUCAUUAGCGAGAGCCUGCCACCAGCGAUAUGAGCUGGUGUGCAAGCGCGCCAUCCUUGUGUUGUGUGUUUGGUGUUGUGUGUGCAUACGCUUGCCGUGUGUGCACAUGCGCAUUUUUCUCACUCUAUUCAUUCAUGUCUGAUCAUCAUGCCCGCAUGGGCACAAACAACCGAAAACUGCCAGCAAUGGAUCACUCGGUUCUC